This 253-nucleotide ribosomal RNA is filed under the name uncultured bacterium. RNAcentral describes it as "partial 16S ribosomal RNA". It matches the Rfam family "Bacterial small subunit ribosomal RNA", at positions 524 to 776 of the family's 1533-position model. The record is from RNAcentral.
UACGUAGGGUGCGAGCGUUGUCCGGAAUUAUUGGGCGUAAAGAGCUCGUAGGCGGCUUGUCACGUCGGUUGUGAAAGCCCGGGGCUUAACCCCGGGUCUGCAGUCGAUACGGGCAGGCUAGAGUUCGGUAGGGGAGAUCGGAAUUCCUGGUGUAGCGGUGAAAUGCGCAGAUAUCAGGAGGAACACCGGUGGCGAAGGCGGAUCUCUGGGCCGAUACUGACGCUGAGGGGCGAAAGCGUGGGGAGCGAACAGG